Molecule: ribosomal RNA, 441 nt
Filed under: uncultured bacterium
Lineage: Bacteria
Description: bacterial SSU rRNA
Rfam family: Bacterial small subunit ribosomal RNA
Source: RNAcentral
ACGAACGCUGGCGGCAUGCCUAACACAUGCAAGUCGAACGGGAUCCAGGCUUCGGUCUGGUGAGAGUGGCGGACGGGUGAGUAACACGUGGGAACCUGCCUUUUGGUUCGGGAUAACCGCGGGAAACUGCGGCUAAUACCGGAUACUCCCGCGAGGGGAAAGAUUUAUCGCCAGAAGAGGGGCCCGCGUCCGAUUAGGUAGUUGGUGAGGUAAUGGCUCACCAAGCCGACGAUCGGUAGCUGGUCUGAGAGGAUGAUCAGCCACACUGGGACUGAGAUACGGCCCAGUCUCCUACGGGAGGCAGCAGUGGGGAAUCUUGCGCAAUGGGCGAAAGCCUGACGCAGCCAUGCCGCGUGUAUGAUGAAGGUCUUAGGAUUGUAAAAUACUUUCACCGGUGAAGAUAAUGACUGUAGCCGGAGAAGAAGCCCCGGCUAACUUCGU